This 496-nucleotide ribosomal RNA is filed under the name uncultured organism. Its description in RNAcentral is "SSU rRNA". It matches the Rfam family "Bacterial small subunit ribosomal RNA", at positions 18 to 509 of the family's 1533-position model. The record is from RNAcentral.
CCUGGCUCAGGAUGAACGCUGGCGGCGUGCCUAACACAUGCAAGUCGAACGAAGCACUUCUGGUUUGAGAUUCGUCAAGAACCGGAUUUGACUUAGUGGCGGACGGGUGAGUAAUGUAUGAGCAACCUGCCUUUCAGAGGGGGACAACAGUUGGAAACGACUGCUAAUACCGCAUAAUGUACGUUGAAGGCAUCUUCGAUGUACCAAAGGAGCAAUCCGCUGAAAGAUGGGCUCAUAUCUGAUUAGUUAGUUGGCAGGGUAACGGCCUACCAAGACUGCGAUCAGUAGCCGGACUGAGAGGUUGAACGGCCACAUUGGGACUGAGAUACGGCCCAGACUCCUACGGGAGGCAGCAGUGGGGAAUAUUGGGCAAUGGGCGAAAGCCUGACCCAGCAACGCCGCGUGAAGGAAGAAGGUCUUCGGAUUGUAAACUUCUUUUAUGAGGGACGAAGGAAGUGACGGUACCUCAUGAAUAAGCCACGGCUAACUACGUGCC